This 795-nucleotide ribosomal RNA is filed under the name uncultured bacterium. RNAcentral describes it as "bacterial SSU rRNA". It matches the Rfam family "Bacterial small subunit ribosomal RNA", at positions 8 to 796 of the family's 1533-position model. The record is from RNAcentral.
AGAGUUUGAUCCUGGCUCAGAUUGAACGCUGGCGGCAUGCCUUACACAUGCAAGUCGAACGGCAGCACGGGGGGUAACCCCUGGUGGCGAGUGGCGAACGGGUGAGUAAUAUAUCGGAACGUGUCCUGUAGCGGGGGAUAACCUAUCGAAAGAUGGACUAAUACCGCAUACGACCUAUGGGUGAAAGCGGAGGACCGCAAGGCUUCGCACUAUAGGAGCGGCCGAUAUCGGAUUAGCUAGUUGGUGGGGUAAAAGCCUACCAAGGCGACGAUCCGUAGCUGGUCUGAGAGGACGAUCAGCCACACUGGAACUGAGACACGGUCCAGACUCCUACGGGAGGCAGCAGUGGGGAAUUUUGGACAAUGGGCGCAAGCCUGAUCCAGCCAUGCCGCGUGAGUGAAGAAGGCCUUCGGGUUGUAAAGCUCUUUCGGCGGGGACGAAACGGUUCGUGCUAAUACCACGGACUAAUGACGGUACCCGCAUAAGAAGCACCGGCUAACUACGUGCCAGCAGCCGCGGUAAUACGUAGGGUGCAGGCGUUAAUCGGAAUUACUGGGCGUAAAGCGUGCGCAGGCGGUUUGUUAAGACAGGUGUGAAAUCCCCGGGCUUAACCUGGGAAUUGCGCUUGUUACUGGCAGACUUGAGUGUGGCAGAGGGGGGUGGAAUUCCAAGUGUAGCAGUGAAAUGCGUAGAUAUUUGGAGGAACACCGAUGGCGAAGGCAGCCCCCUGGGCUAACACUGACGCUCAUGCACGAAAGCGUGGGGAGCAAACAGGAUUAGAUACCCUGGUAGUCC